RNAcentral lists this ribosomal RNA (601 nucleotides) under Dryops sp. FC_D17. RNAcentral's name for it is "SSU rRNA". It matches the Rfam family "Eukaryotic small subunit ribosomal RNA", at positions 22 to 602 of the family's 1831-position model. Lineage: Eukaryota; Metazoa; Arthropoda; Insecta; Coleoptera; Dryopidae. The record is from RNAcentral.
AGUCAUAUGCUUGUCUCAAAGAUUAAGCCAUGCAUGUCUCAGUACAAGCCAAAUUAAGGUGAAACCGCGAAAGGCUCAUUAAAUCAGUUAUGGUUCCUUAGAUCGUACCCACACUUACUUGGAUAACUGUGGUAAUUCUAGAGCUAAUACAUGCAAACAGAGCUCUGACCGGAGACGGAAGGAGCGCUUUUAUUAGAUCAAAACCAAUCGGCGGCGGGCUUGCCCGUCGUCGUUCAACCUGGUGAAUCUGAAUAACUUUGUGCUGAUCGCACGGUCUAGCACCGGCGACGCAUCUUUCAAAUGUCUGCCUUAUCAACUGUCGAUGGUAGGUUCUGCGCCUACCAUGGUUGUAACGGGUAACGGGGAAUCAGGGUUCGAUUCCGGAGAGGGAGCCUGAGAAACGGCUACCACAUCCAAGGAAGGCAGCAGGCGCGCAAAUUACCCACUCCCGGCACGGGGAGGUAGUGACGAAAAAUAACGAUACGGGACUCAUCCGAGGCCCCGUAAUCGGAAUGAGUACACUCUAAAUCCUUUAACGAGGAUCAAUUGGAGGGCAAGUCUGGUGCCAGCAGCCGCGGUAAUUCCAGCUCCAAUAGCGUAU